Molecule: long non-coding RNA, 1009 nt
Filed under: Diabrotica virgifera virgifera (western corn rootworm)
Lineage: Eukaryota; Metazoa; Arthropoda; Insecta; Coleoptera; Chrysomelidae
Description: uncharacterized LOC126888005
Source: RNAcentral
ACAAAAACUUUUACUUGAACUUGAUUGACAUUCCAUUUUUAUAUUUUUUUGACAUUACAUCAAAAUUGCCUUAACGGUCAAUACGAACUGCAGUGCCUUAAAAAUAUUUUAACCCUGCUGUCCUGUUCGGGUCUAUUUGACACAAGAAUCUUCAGGUCGAGCAAGUCUCGUAAAUUUCACGAUUGCGAGCCACGCUUCACGCAACCGUGUUUGCGUACUUGUGUUUCGAGUUGCGUGGUCGUGCGGAGUUAUAUUUACCAAAUUUAAAUAUAAUCGUUUUCAAAAUUAAAUCAAUAUGGCUACUGGGUGUAAAAGAUAAAUCUUAUUCUAUCUGUUCUUAAUGAGUUUUAGAUAAUUUUAGUUGUAUUUCUUUGUAAUUUUGUGUUGUACAAAGAUUAAUUUAACAUUUUCUCUAGAAGUAUUAAUUUAGAAAGAUAAUAUGCUUCAUUGGUGUUGUGUUUUGAAGUGUAAAAUGCAAAGUAAUUGUGAUAAAGUCAAGAUAAAGUUCACUUUUAAACUGAACUAAAUAAGGUAUCUGAGAGACAACAAUGGUUAAAUGCAAUACAAUGUACAGGUUUUACUAGCGAAAUGAAAAUUUUCCUGUCCUGUCUGCUGUAAUCAUUUUAUAUCUGGAAAACCAGCCGACUUAAUCGAUAAUAACAAUCUCCAGAUUGGGUUCCUUCAAUAAAUAUGGUCUAUAAACACUAUGAAAUAAGUUCCCCAAACUCUAAAAUGGAGUGGUAUCAAAGGAGAAUUAAAGGGAAAAAUAUUCAUAUUGAAAUUAUUUAUAAGGCACUGGACUGUCUUAAAUUCUACAAUAAUACUAGAAUCAGCUGAGAGAAGUGGUCUACAAAAAACCAGGAAGGAAACGGAAUAUGUGGCUACGUAAGGCAAAAGAAAGGUUUACAAAGCAAAUGUGACACAUCUUUUUGAAAUAUUUAGGAAUAUCAGUAAAUUGCAUUGAAAAAAUGUAUGAAAAGAUUUUGUUCAAUAAAAAUGUUUAUAUUUA